CGGAUUGUAGUCUGCAACCCGACUACAUGAAGCUGGAAUCGCUAGUAAUCGCAGAUCAGAAUGCUGCGGUGAAUGCGUUCCCGGGCCUUGUACACACCGCCCGUCACACCAUGGGAGUUUGUAACGCCCAAAGUCGGUGGCCUAACCUUUAUGGAGGGAGCCGCCUAAGGCGGGACAGAUGACUGGGGUGAAGUCGUAACAAGGUACC
RNAcentral lists this ribosomal RNA (208 nucleotides) under uncultured bacterium. RNAcentral's name for it is "partial 16S ribosomal RNA". It matches the Rfam family "Bacterial small subunit ribosomal RNA", at positions 1294 to 1500 of the family's 1533-position model. The record is from RNAcentral.